This 403-nucleotide unclassified non-coding RNA is filed under the name Galeomma oculus-cati. Its description in RNAcentral is "partial external transcribed spacer". The record is from RNAcentral. Lineage: Eukaryota; Viridiplantae; Streptophyta; Magnoliopsida; Asterales; Asteraceae.
CACGAGUGGUGUUUGGUUUGUUACGGGUGGUUGGCUCUUUGCUUGCGCAACAACUUCCUCCCGGCAUACCUUUUCAGUCUUGUGUCAAUGCUUGUAUGUCAUUGAAUGCAUGAUGGGUUUCUUGUGUUGCAUACCUAAUUGAUGGUAUCGUUUGAUGAAUUGGUUUCCCUUUUCGUCUUGCGUCGCUCAUGCAACGUGAGAUGAACCUUGAGGCAGCCCUUGUGAUCCACUAUUUUGAUGCAUAUGCAUUGAUUUUGUGGCUCAUUCAGUGUUGCUUGGUCUUAUGGAUAUGGAACCUGGUGUGGGCAUGGAAUCUUAAUGGUUCCUUGUUUGCCCAAAUAUAGCUUUUCUAAAACGAUCGUCUAUCUUGUGUUAACGUGAUAGACUAAUUCGUAUAUGAAUG